Molecule: long non-coding RNA, 851 nt
Organism: Hirundo rustica (Barn swallow)
Lineage: Eukaryota; Metazoa; Chordata; Aves; Passeriformes; Hirundinidae
Exons: 4
Source: RefSeq, a predicted model, not a curated record
GGAGGAGGAACCUUGAGGAAGAAGAGGAGCAUGAAGAAGGAGGAUCCUGAGGAGAGAGAAUCCCUGCUGUGAGGUGCACCCCUGCUGCACCAGGCAUAUUAUUCUAGGCUGCUGUGAAAAUGUGGCUGCCAGGCAUGCUUGGUCGAUCUGAUCCAAAGGAGACGCUCUGCUCUGCUUGGAAGCAGUACUUUCAUGGGGACAACAGGAGUUACGUGGGCCCUGUUUUCCUGCCUGAAUCCUGUGGAGGGAGAAGCAUUCACGUUCACAUGCUCCUCGUCGUUUCAAGAUUAUUUAAGAAACCACCGCUGCUGAGCUAGCAGGGGAUCUUUCCUUUGGUGACCUUUGCCAGAGCAGCUGAUUGGUGUGCCCCAGCUGCAGGCCAUCAUUUUCUUGGGAAAGUUUUAAGACUCUCAGGAAAACGACCCAUCUUCUUUCCUAGCCCUUCCUGACGUGUAUGGGCUUUGCUGGCCUUUCCAACUCCAGUGUGGGAGGAGUUGUUUGUUUUCCUUUUAAAUGUUCUCCUGCCAUCCUCCUUUUUUAACAAUGCUGUUUAUACAUGAGGACUUGCUGCGCAUUCGGUGUGGCACAUGGAUGGAGUGGAUGCUUUGAACUGCUUUUGCAACAAUGGAUUCUGCUUGACUGAUAAUGAAACCAUGGGACAGACCUCAGGGAGUGGUAAAGAGAUGAGGGAUCCUGAGGUGACUGUGCUGUGUGGGACAUCAACUGAAUGUGCCAAAGAAUGUGAAUAUGAGCCUUCUCAAGAGUUGUUUCCUGGUGUUGAAAUUUCCCCCAUUUACAGUUAUCCUUCCACUUCUCAAACAAUUUUUUAGGUCUUAAAAAAAAAAUAAAAU